GAUGAACGCUGGCGGCGUGCCUAAUACAUGCAAGUCGAGCGAACAGACGAGGAGCUUGCUCCUCUGACGUUAGCGGCGGACGGGUGAGUAACACGUGGAUAACCUACCUAUAAGACUGGGAUAACUUCGGGAAACCGGAGCUAAUACAGGAUAAUAUAUUGAACCGCAUGGUUCAAUAGUGAAAGACGGUUUUGCUGUCACUGAUAGAUGGAUCCGCGCCGCAUUAGCUAGUUGGUAAGGUAACGGCUUACCAAGGCAACGAUGCGUAGCCGACCUGAGAGGGUGAUCGGCCACACUGGAACUGAGACACGGUCCAGACUCCUACGGGAGGCAGCAGUAGGGAAUCUUCCGCAAUGGGCGAAAGCCUGACGGAGCAACGCCGCGUGAGUGAUGAAGGUCUUCGGAUCGUAAAACUCUGUUAUUAGGGAAGAACAAAUGUGUAAGUAACUAUGCACGUCUUGACGGUACCUAAUCAGAAAGCCACGGCUAACUACGUG
This 497-nucleotide ribosomal RNA is filed under the name uncultured bacterium. RNAcentral describes it as "partial 16S ribosomal RNA". It matches the Rfam family "Bacterial small subunit ribosomal RNA", at positions 28 to 507 of the family's 1533-position model. The record is from RNAcentral.